UAAAACAACAAGCCCAAACCCCUAGCAUGUCUCUGCGGUGGCCCUGGGCCGGAGUCCCCUCCCGGACCGUCCCAUCGCGUUACCUGAGGGGGUCCCAUGUGGGUGCCGCACCCCGGCCGCCGCCGCAGGCCCCGCCGCCGCCCCAAACCCCCCCACCUGUCCUCACCUCACAAUGGUAGCUGCAGAGCAGGAGGGGGGGCGGCCGCCCGGACCUCAUUACCAUAUUCUGCCUGGCAACAGCUAUCAGUGCUGCAUGCUGAUUGGCCAGGAGUCCCUAGCCCGGGCAAACGCAUCCCCCCCCCAAAAAAAGCACAAAGCGGCCGGGUCCCCAGGGGGGAGGUGAAGCGAAGCCCCCCCCAAUCCACAAGAAGGGGGGAACCCUUGCCAGGGCUUCCACCCUUCCCCAGCACCACCCACCAAUCACAGCGCCGCUCUCAUCCAAGCGCAGCUCCGCCGGGGCCUGCUCGCCAAUCACAGUGCGUCUCUCAGCGUCGGGCUCCGCCUUCCUGCUGUGGGAGGAGGCCCUACACUCCAGGACUCAGCCAGCCCUUCAUCCUCCAGAUGCAUCCAAGCAUCGUAUGAUGUAGGCAUGCCCAGAGUUCGAGCCAGUCUUUCACUGAAGGCUGGGGACCCAAAGGUCAGAUGUUGUCUUCAAGGAAGCAGAUUUACAAUGCAUGUAAUUAUCCCUUCUUGCAACCUCAGGUGCAGGACUGGUUUUUUUGGUACACAUUUGGAGUCCUUUGGUCAAGAGUUUGGUGUGUAUGCAGAUGAAUGAGAAAGUAGUUCUGUGGGACACAACACUCCAUAUAAAAUGGCACGCUUAUUUAUGUCUGCCUAUUAUAGGGCAGCCCUGACUGAAACAUUCCUACAAUAUAUCCUCAUUGGAUCUCGCCAGCUCCAGGGGCAGAGAUUUUUCAACAUCUGGCUGCUUGAUUGAUCUGCAAUAAAAGAACCCUCUGCCACACAGAAGAAGAUGGAACAACUAGCAGAUACAAGGACUCUAGUUAAACUAACUGCUUAGGGACUGAUCCCGUGAACAUUCUGAAGGCCCAGUGACUUCGCUAGAAGACAAUGUCAUUUAGCACGGAGAGAACUGGACCCUACUCGUCUUUACUAGGAUGCAGAUUUUUUGAAAUAUAAUCUGGUUCAAAGGCAUAAUCUUUCAUCGGAGGUUUGGAAACAUUAAUUAAAGCUUGACUCACUCCUUUGAGGUAGACAAAUAUCUCCAUAUUACUAAUGGGCAAAAUGAAGUAGAAUUUGAGUGAUUAUCUCAAGGUCACACAGUGACAGGGCCAAGAAUUAGGACUUAAGUGUCUUGCCUCUCAGCCCUUGUUCUUACCAUACAGUCAUAUGCUUGUCAGUACAACAAACAGUUUGCCAGAAUCUCAUGCCACCUCACUCAUCUACUUUCCACAGAACUCCCUUUCACUUUCUGUUUUUACCCACUUCCCCGCCCAUUUCACAACCUUGACUUUAUAAAAUGAACAACCUUCCCAAUGGGACAUUUUGCAUGGGUGGGUCAUGGUGAUAGCCACGGUCCCUCCUUGAAUUCUGGGCUUGCCAAGAGCACUGGAAUACUGAGCUUUAAAUAAUCAUCCUCUUCACACUUACAUUUCUUGAAAAACUCAGCAAAGACAAUCAUAGAAAUCUGCACCUAACUGAGCUUUAGCAAAGUAACCCCAGAAGAUGAUAAUGUCAUCAGACUAUUUUUAUAGAGAGCACCUAUUCAUUUUAUCACAAGCGAUUUGGAAACUGUCCCCAAACUACUUCAGUUUGGUGGGUUUUUUUAAGCAAAAGUUUUAUUUUAAAAAUUCCUUCUCUCCUAGGAGUUCCAAACACAGUUUUUUGCACCACAUGUCAUUUGCAAAAUGUUACACUCCAUUCCUUUUUAAUUAGGCUGCCAGAUGGGUAUCUGGUCUUGUGAUACUGAAAUAUCAGUUUAUCAUACCUACUGUCAAACCACAAUGCUACACUUUUUAAUGCAUUUGGGGCUAAUAGUCUCCCCCUUCUAGCUAGGCUUUGUGCAAAGAGAUUCUACAGCUGCUGAAGGGAAAUUAAUCCUCUGUGGCGGGCGUUAGACAAAUAGAAAUGGAAAACACUAUGAUGGCCCUUUCUAGACCCCACCACUUAUAUCCCCUCCCCCAUUCCGCAAGAGGCAGUGGCUGAUGGAUCGUUAUAGUAGCAGAUCCGUUGGCCCUGCUGCUGCUCCUUCCCUGAACUACUCAUGACCUGGAAAUGAGAAAAAGUCCUAUGCACCUUGGCUCUUCAACAAGACUAUAUAUCCCUUAAGUCUAGUCCCUGUGCAGCAGAACUGCACUAGUUCUGUUGCUUCUGGAGCCCUCUCUGCCUGCCUGUGAAAAGCAAGAUUUGCCUCUUACAACACAUUUUGUUUUUGUUGUGUCUCUGUUUUAAUGGGAAAUACGUCACGGGGGAGAAGCCCCAAAAUUUUACUUAUCUUUUGUUUCCCUGUUUAAAUGUGACAAUAUGGCUAUCUGGCUACUCUGGUUUCUGAGCUAGAGGAUUGUGAGUUCAAGUCCCACGUCUGGACUUCACCUGAUACCCAUUGCUAACACUGCAGCUUAGUGGUAGGAGGAUGCUGUACUAGAAGAGAUUGUCCCCAUUUACAACACUUCAGCAAUCUUCCUUGCAUCCGUUUCAGGAAAAAAAAAUCACUUGUGAUUGUGUGUGAAGAAUGUAAAAGUUAAAGAAUAUAAACGGUUUGUAAUUUUAUCUAAUUGUCCGAAUAUCUUGGGAUUUUUCUGUUUGCUUUGUUUUUUGGUGUAAGCACUCUUGCACA
Long non-coding RNA from Mauremys mutica (yellowpond turtle), 2797 nucleotides. RefSeq lists it as uncharacterized. The record is from RefSeq and is a predicted model, not a curated record. The transcript is spliced from 8 exons. Lineage: Eukaryota; Metazoa; Chordata; Testudines; Geoemydidae.